UGGGGAAUAUUGGACAAUGGGGGCAACCCUGAUCCAGCAAUGCCGCGUGUGUGAAGAAGGCCUUCGGGUUGUAAAGCACUUUUAUCGGGAACGAAACAUUGUCGGCCAAUACCCGGCAAGACUGACGGUACCCGAGGAAUAAGCACCGGCUAACUCCGUGCCAGCAGCCGCGGUAAUACGGAGGGUGCAAGCGUUAAUCGGAAUUGCUGGGCGUAAAGCGUGCGCAGGCGGUUUGUUAAGUCUGCUGUGAAAUCCCCGAGCUCAACUUGGGAAUUGCAGUGGAUACUGGCAAGCUGGAGUACGGUAGAGGAAGGUGGAAUUCCCGGUGUAGCAGUGAAAUGCGUAGAGAUCGGGAGGAACACCAGUGGCGAAGGCGGCCUUCUGGACCAGUACUGACGCUCAUGCACGAAAGCGUGGGGAGCAAACA
Molecule: ribosomal RNA, 427 nt
Filed under: uncultured bacterium
Lineage: Bacteria
Description: bacterial SSU rRNA
Rfam family: Bacterial small subunit ribosomal RNA
Source: RNAcentral